AUGGCGGCCUUCACGGCGGCCUUCUCCUUCUUGCUCGUGCUGCUCCGGCUGCUGGCGCCCGCCAUUGCCGACGCCGGCGAGGCGGCGGCGCUGCUCGCCUUCAGGCGCGCGUCCGUGGUGGACGACCCGCGCGGUGCGCUCACGACCUGGGUGUCCGGCGCCGCCGCCAACUCCACCGCGCCCUGCUCGUGGGCCGGCGUCACGUGCGCGCCGCCGCUCGACGGCCGGGUCGUCGCCCUCAACCUCAGCGGCAAGGACCUCGCUGGCGACCUUCGGCUCGGCGCGCUCCUCGCGCUCCCGGCGCUGCAGCGUCUCGACUUGCGCCGCAAUGCCUUCUACGGCAACCUCUCGCACGCGCCGCCGUCAUCGUCGUCGUGCGCGCUCGUGGAGGUGGACAUAUCGUCCAACGCCUUCAACGGGACGCUGCCCCCGGCGUUCCUGGCGUCCUGCGGCGCGCUGCGGUCCCUGAACCUGUCGAGGAACGCCCUCGCCGCCGGCGGGUUCCCGUUCGCGCCGUCGCUGCGGUCGAUCGACCUGUCGCGCAACCACCUGGAGGACGCCGGCCUGCUCAACUACUCCUUCGCCGGCUGCCAUGGCCUGCGGUACCUCAACCUCUCCGCCAACCUCUUCACGAGCCGGCUGCCGGAGCUGGCAUCGUGCAGCGUGAUCACCACGCUCGACGUGUCGUGGAACCAGAUCUCAGGCGCGCUCCCCGCCGGGUUCAUGGCGACCGCGCCGGCCAACCUGACGUACCUGAGCAUCGCCCGUAACAACCUCACCGGCGAUGUCUCUGGGUACAACUUCGGCGUGUGCGGCAACCUGACGGUGCUCGACUGGUCCAACAACGGCCUAAGCAGCACCGGACUACCGCCGGGUCUCGCCAACUGCCACCGCCUUGAGACGCUCGACAUGUCAGGGAACAAGCUUCUCUCCGGCUCAAUACCGACCUUCUUUACCGAACUACCUUCUCUGAAGAGACUGGCAUUGGCCGGCAACGAGUUCGCCGGGCCGAUACCGGAGGAGCUGGGCCAGCUGUGCGGCAGAAUCGUCCAUUUUGACCUGUCGAGCAACCGGCUGGUCGGCGGCUUGCCGGCGAGCUUUGCAAAGUGCAGCUCCCUCGAGGUGCUCGACCUCAGAGCGAACCAGUUCUCCGGUGACUUUGUGGCCAGCGUCGUCAGCACCAUCUCCUCGCUCCGCGUGCUGCGGCUGGCAUUCAACAACAUCACCGGCGCGAACCCGCUGCCGGCGCUCGCGGCGGGGUGCCCAUUGCUGGAGGAGAUCGACCUCGGGGCCAACGAGCUCGACGGAGAAAUCAUGCCGGACCUGUGCUCGUCACUGCCUUCUCUGAAGAAGCUGUUCCUCCCAAACAACUACCUCAACGGCACCAUACCGACGUCGCUCGGCAACUGCGCUAACCUGGAGUCCAUUGAUCUGAGCUUCAACUUCCUGGUUGGCGAGAUCCCGCCGGAAGUAAUCACUCUGCCGAAGCUGGCCGAUCUGGUCAUGUGGGCGAAUGGCCUGUCCGGCGUGAUACCGGACAUCCUAUGCUCCAAUGGCACCGCACUGGCGAUGCUGGUGAUAAGCUACAACAACUUCACCGGAGGCAUCCCGCCGUCCAUCACAAGCUGCGUGAACCUCGUCUGGGUGUCGCUGUCGGCCAACCGUCUCACCGGGGUCGUGCCGCCGGGCUUCUCCAAGCUCCAGAAGCUGGCCAUCCUGCAGCUCAACAAGAACCAGCUCUCCGGCCGCGUGCCGGCGGAGCUCGGCAGGUGCAACAACCUCAUAUGGCUGGACCUCAACAGCAACGGCUUCACCGGCACGAUACCCUCGGAGCUGGCAGCCCAGGCGGGGCUCGUUCCGGAGGGGAUCGUGUCAGGGAAGGAGUUCGUCUUCCUCCGCAACGAGGCCGGCAACAUCUGCCCCGGCGCCGGACUGCUCUUCGAGUUCUUCGGCAUCCGGCCAGAGCGCUUGGCCGGGUUCACCCCCGCCGUGCGCAUGUGCCCGGUCACCAGGAUCUACAUGGGCACCACGGUGUACUCAUUCAGCAGCAAUGGCAGCAUGAUCUUCCUCGACCUCUCGUACAACGGCCUCACCGGCGAGAUACCGGAGAGCCUCGGGAGCAUGGCGUACCUCGUCGUCCUCAACUUGGGGCACAAUGAGCUCAGCGGCAAGAUACCGGAGGCAUUUUCAGGGCUGGAACUGAUGGGCGCCAUGGACCUGUCAAACAAUCACCUCGUCGGCGGCAUACCCUCAGGUUUUGGUAGCCUGCAUUUCCUCGUCGACUUCGACGUCUCCAACAACAACCUCACCGGUCCGAUCCCGUCGUCCGGCCAGCUCACCACCUUCCAGCCGGCCCGGUACGGGAACAACUCUGGUCUCUGUGGCAUUCCUCUGCCGCCAUGCGGGCACACUCCGGGAGGGGUGAGCGGGGGAGGAAGCUCACAUGAUGGGAGGAGGAAGGUGAUCGGGGCGAGCAUUCUCGUCGGAGUGGCGCUCUCGCUGCUCAUACUCCUGCUGCUCUUGGUCACGCUCUGCAAGCUCUGGAAGAGCCAGAGGACCGAGGAGAUCAGAACGGGGUACAUCGAGAGCCUCCCGAUGUCCGGCGCCACGAGCUGGAAGCUGUCCGGCGUCGAGGAGCCACUGAGCAUCAACGUGGCAGCAUUCGAGAAGCCGCUGAGGAAGCUCACCUUCGCGCACCUCCUCGAGGCCACCAAUGGCUUCAGCGCCGAGACCCUCGUCGGCUCCGGGGGGUUCGGCGAGGUUUACAAGGCCAGGCUCAAGGACGGCAGCGUGGUGGCCAUCAAGAAGCUCAUCCAUUACACGGGCCAGGGCGACCGGGAGUUCACGGCGGAGAUGGAGACCAUCGGCAAGAUCAAGCACCGCAACCUCGUCCCGCUGCUCGGGUACUGCAAGGUCGGCGACGAGCGGCUCCUCGUGUACGAGUACAUGAAGCACGGCAGCUUGGACAUGGUGCUCCACGACAACGACGACAAGGCCAUGGUGAAGCUCGACUGGGCGGCGAGGAAGAAGAUCGCCAUCGGGUCGGCGAGGGGCCUCGCCUUCCUCCACCACAGCUGCAUCCCCCACAUCAUCCACCGGGACAUGAAGUCGAGCAACGUGCUCCUGGACAACAACCUCGACGCCCGGGUGUCGGACUUCGGGAUGGCGAGGCUGAUGAACGCGCUGGACACGCACCUGAGCGUGAGCACGCUCGCGGGCACGCCCGGGUACGUCCCGCCGGAGUACUACCAGAGCUUCCGGUGCACGACCAAGGGCGACGUCUACAGCUAUGGCGUCGUGCUCCUGGAGCUCCUCACCGGGAAGAAGCCGAUCGACCCGACCGAGUUCGGCGACAACAACCUCGUCGGCUGGGUGAAGCAGAUGGUCAAGGAGAACAAGAGCGGCGAGAUCUUUGAUCCCACGCUGACCGACACCAAGUCCGGGGAGGCCGAGCUCGAUCAGUACCUCAAGAUCGCCUCCGAGUGCCUGGAUGACCGGCCGGCCAGAAGGCCUACCAUGAUCCAGGUCAUGGCCAUGUUCAAGGAGCUGCAGCUCGACUCCGACAGCGACUUCCUCGACGGCUUCUCGAUCAACUCCUCCACCAUAGACGAAUCGGCAGAGAAAUCAUCGUCGUAA
This 3636-nucleotide ribosomal RNA is filed under the name Triticum aestivum (bread wheat). Its description in RNAcentral is "partial small subunit ribosomal RNA". The record is from RNAcentral. Lineage: Eukaryota; Viridiplantae; Streptophyta; Magnoliopsida; Poales; Poaceae.